This 816-nucleotide ribosomal RNA is filed under the name uncultured bacterium. Its description in RNAcentral is "bacterial SSU rRNA". It matches the Rfam family "Bacterial small subunit ribosomal RNA", at positions 97 to 913 of the family's 1533-position model. The record is from RNAcentral.
GGCGCACGGGUGAGUAACACGUAUGCAACCUACCUUUAACAGGGGAAUAACCCGUUGAAAAACGGACUAAUACUCCAUAACACAGGGGUCCCGCAUGGGAAUAUUUGUUAAAGAUUUAUCGGUUGAAGAUGGGCAUGCGUUCCAUUAGCUUGUUGGUGAGGUAACGGCUCACCAAGGCUACGAUGGAUAGGGGAACUGAGAGGUUUAUCCCCCACACUGGAACUGAGACACGGUCCAGACUCCUACGGGAGGCAGCAGUGAGGAAUAUUGGUCAAUGGAGGCAACUCUGAACCAGCCAAGUCGCGUGAAGGAUGAAGGUCUUAUGGAUUGUAAACUUCUUUUGCAAGGGAAUAAAGUGGGGGACGUGUCCUCCUUUGCAUGUACCUUGCGAAUAAGGAUCGGCUAACUCCGUGCCAGCAGCCGCGGUAAUACGGAGGAUCCGAGCGUUAUCAGGAUUUAUUGGGUUUAAAGGGUGCGCAGGCGGGAUGUUAAGUCGGCGGUGAAAUUUUGCAGCUCAACUGUAAAAGUGCCUUCGAUACUGGCUUUCUUGAGUGUGGAUGAAGUAGGCGGAGUUUGUGGUGUAGCGGUGAAAUGCUUAGAUAUCACGAGGAACUCCGAUUGCGCAGGCAGCUUACUAAACCACUACUGACGCUCAUGCACGAAGGCGUGGGGAUCAAACAGGAUUAGAUACCCUGAUAGUCCACGCAGUAAACGAUGAUUACUAGUUGUUUGCGAUACAAUGUAAGCGACUGAGCGAAAGCGUUAAGUAAUCCACCUGGGGAGUACGUUCGCAAGAAUGAAACUCAAAGGAAUUGA